UGAAUGGCAUCACGAGGGCUUAACUGUCUCCCCUCCCCAGUCAAUGAAAUUGAUCUCCCCGUGCAGAAGCGGGGAUAAUACCAUAAGACGAGAAGACCCUAUGGAGCUUUAGACGUCAGAGCAGCCCAUGUAAAGCACCCCUUAACAAAGGAAAAAACCAAAUGAAGCCUGCCCUAAUGUCUUUGGUUGGGGCGACCGCGGGGAAAUACAAAACCCCCAUGUGGAGUAGGAAUACACAUUCCUAAACCCAAGAGCUCCCGCUCUAAUGAACAGAAAUUCUGACCAAUAAGAUCCGGCACACGCCGAUCAACGGACCGAGUUACCCUAGGGAUAACAGCGCAAUCCCCUUAAAGAGCCCUUAUCGACAAGGGGGUUUACGACCUC
Molecule: ribosomal RNA, 384 nt
Filed under: Pagrus major (red seabream)
Lineage: Eukaryota; Metazoa; Chordata; Actinopteri; Spariformes; Sparidae
Description: partial 16S ribosomal RNA
Rfam family: Bacterial large subunit ribosomal RNA
Source: RNAcentral